RNAcentral lists this ribosomal RNA (499 nucleotides) under uncultured bacterium. RNAcentral's name for it is "partial 16S ribosomal RNA". It matches the Rfam family "Bacterial small subunit ribosomal RNA", at positions 28 to 507 of the family's 1533-position model. The record is from RNAcentral.
GAUGAACGCUGGCGGCGUGCCUAAUACAUGCAAGUCGAGCGAAGUUUUUCUGGUGCUUGCACUAGAAAAACUUAGCGGCGAACGGGUGAGUAACACGUAAAGAACCUGCCUCAUAGACUGGGACAACUAUUGGAAACGAUAGCUAAUACCGGAUAACAGUAUUUCUCGCAUGAGAGAUAUUUAAAAGUUGGUUAUGCUAACACUAUGAGAUGGCUUUGCGGUGCAUUAGCUAGUUGGUGGGGUAAAGGCCCACCAAGGCGACGAUGCAUAGCCGACCUGAGAGGGUGAUCGGCCACACUGGGACUGAGACACGGCCCAGACUCCUACGGGAGGCAGCAGUAGGGAAUCUUCCGCAAAGGGCGAAAGCCUGACGGAGCAACGCCGCGUGAGUGAAGAAGGAUUUCGGUUCGUAAAGCUCUGUUGUUAGGGAAGAAUGGAUAUGUAGUAACUAUACAUGUAAGAGACGGUACCUAACCAGAAAGCCACGGCUAACUACGUG